GACGAACGCUGGCGGCGUGCUUAACACAUGCAAGUCGAACGGAAAGGCCUGCUUUCCCUUGUGGAUUGCGGGUACUCGAGUGGCGAACGGGUGAGUAACACGUGAGUGAUCUGCCCCCAACUUGGGUGUAAGCCUGGGAAACUGGGUCUAAUUCCCGAUAGGACUGCAGGGUGGUGCCUGUGGUGGAAAACGAUUUUCUAGUGGUUGGGGAUGAGCUCGCGGCCUAUCAGCUUGUUGGUGGGGUAAUGGCCUACCAAGGCGGCGACGGGUAGCCGGCCUGAGAGGGUGGACGGCCACAUUGGGACUGAGAUACGGCCCAGACUCCUACGGGAGGCAGCAGUGGGGAAUAUUGCACAAUGGGCGGAAGCCUGAUGCAGCGACGCCGCGGGGGGGAUGACGGCCUUCGGGUUGUAAACUCCUUUCGACCGCGAGGAAGCCACCUGGUUGGAAGGGUGGUGACGGUAGUGGUAGAAGAAGCACCGGCUAACUACGUG
This 494-nucleotide ribosomal RNA is filed under the name uncultured bacterium. RNAcentral describes it as "partial 16S ribosomal RNA". It matches the Rfam family "Bacterial small subunit ribosomal RNA", at positions 28 to 507 of the family's 1533-position model. The record is from RNAcentral.